CCUGUGACACUGUGUUUAACGGCCACGGUAUUAUAACCGUGCAAAGGUAGCGUAAUCACUUGUCUUUUAAAUGAAGACCUGUAUGAAUGGCAUCACGAGGGUUUAACUGUCUCCUUCCCCCAGCCAAUGAAAUUGAUCUAUCCGUGCAGAAGCGGGUAUAAAAACAUAAGACGAGAAGACCCUAUGGAGCUUCAGGCUAAAAGCUCAAGCACGUAAAGAAAUUUUAAAUCAACAAAAGAAUUAAACCAAAUUAAAACUUAGUGUAAUAAUGGCCACACGCCUUCGGUUGGGGCGACCACGGAGAAAAACAAAACCCCCGAAUGGAAUAAAGAAAUCUUUUAAACCAAGAGACAUACCUCUAAGCAACAGAAAAUCUGACCAAAUAUGACCCAGGAUAAAUUAAACCUGAUCAAUAAACCAAGUUACCCUAGGGAUAACAGCGCAAUCCUCUCCCAGAGACCCUAUCGACGAGGGGGUUUACGACCUCGAUGUUGGAUCAGGACAUCCUAAUGGUGUAGCCGCUAUUAA
This 528-nucleotide ribosomal RNA is filed under the name Ophichthus zophochir (yellow snake-eel). RNAcentral describes it as "partial 16S ribosomal RNA". It matches the Rfam family "Bacterial large subunit ribosomal RNA", at positions 1863 to 2568 of the family's 2925-position model. Lineage: Eukaryota; Metazoa; Chordata; Actinopteri; Anguilliformes; Ophichthidae. The record is from RNAcentral.